This 2932-nucleotide ribosomal RNA is filed under the name Escherichia coli. Its description in RNAcentral is "bacterial LSU rRNA". It matches the Rfam family "Bacterial large subunit ribosomal RNA". Lineage: Bacteria; Pseudomonadati; Pseudomonadota; Gammaproteobacteria; Enterobacterales; Enterobacteriaceae. RNAcentral also lists the same sequence under 1 other name. The record is from RNAcentral.
GGGUUGUGAGGUUAAGCGACUAAGCGUACACGGUGGAUGCCUUGGCAGUCAGAGGCGAUGAAGGACGUGCUAAUCUGCGAUAAGCGUCGGUAAGGUGAUAUGAACCGUUAUAACCGGCGAUUUCCGAAUGGGGAAACCCAGUGUGAUUCGUCACACUAUCAUUAACUGAAUCCAUAGGUUAAUGAGGCGAACCGGGGGAACUGAAACAUCUAAGUACCCCGAGGAAAAGAAAUCAACCGAGAUUCCCCCAGUAGCGGCGAGCGAACGGGGAGGAGCCCAGAGCCUGAAUCAGUGUGUGUGUUAGUGGAAGCGUCUGGAAAGGCGCGCGAUACAGGGUGACAGCCCCGUACACAAAAAUGCACAUACUGUGAGCUCGAUGAGUAGGGCGGGACACGUGGUAUCCUGUCUGAAUAUGGGGGGACCAUCCUCCAAGGCUAAAUACUCCUGACUGACCGAUAGUGAACCAGUACCGUGAGGGAAAGGCGAAAAGAACCCCGGCGAGGGGAGUGAAAAAGAACCUGAAACCGUGUACGUACAAGCAGUGGGAGCACAGAGCAAUCUGUGUGACUGCGUACCUUUUGUAUAAUGGGUCAGCGACUUAUAUUCUGUAGCAAGGUUAACCGAAUAGGGGAGCCGAAGGGAAACCGAGUCUUAACCGGGCGUUAAGUUGCAGGGUAUAGACCCGAAACCCGGUGAUCUAGCCAUGGGCAGGUUGAAGGUUGGGUAACACUAACUGGAGGACCGAACCGACUAAUGUUGAAAAAUUAGCGGAUGACUUGUGGCUGGGGGUGAAAGGCCAAUCAAACCGGGAGAUAGCUGGUUCUCCCCGAAAGCUAUUUAGGUAGCGCCUCGUGAAUUCAUCUCCGGGGGUAGAGCACUGUUUCGGCAAGGGGGUCAUCCCGACUUACCAACCCGAUGCAAACUGCGAAUACCGGAGAAUGUUAUCACGGGAGACACACGGCGGGUGCUAACGUCCGUCGUGAAGAGGGAAACAACCCAGACCGCCAGCUAAGGUCCCAAAGUCAUGGUUAAGUGGGAAACGAUGUGGGAAGGCCCAGACAGCCAGGAUGUUGGCUUAGAAGCAGCCAUCAUUUAAAGAAAGCGUAAUAGCUCACUGGUCGAGUCGGCCUGCGCGGAAGAUGUAACGGGGCUAAACCAUGCACCGAAGCUGCGGCAGCGACACUGUGUGUUGUUGGGUAGGGGAGCGUUCUGUAAGCCUGUGAAGGUGUGCUGUGAGGCAUGCUGGAGGUAUCAGAAGUGCGAAUGCUGACAUAAGUAACGAUAAAGCGGGUGAAAAGCCCGCUCGCCGGAAGACCAAGGGUUCCUGUCCAACGUUAAUCGGGGCAGGGUGAGUCGACCCCUAAGGCGAGGCCGAAAGGCGUAGUCGAUGGGAAACAGGUUAAUAUUCCUGUACUUGGUGUUACUGCGAAGGGGGGACGGAGAAGGCUAUGUUGGCCGGGCGACGGUUGUCCCGGUUUAAGCGUGUAGGCUGGUUUUCCAGGCAAAUCCGGAAAAUCAAGGCUGAGGCGUGAUGACGAGGCACUACGGUGCUGAAGCAACAAAUGCCCUGCUUCCAGGAAAAGCCUCUAAGCAUCAGGUAACAUCAAAUCGUACCCCAAACCGACACAGGUGGUCAGGUAGAGAAUACCAAGGCGCUUGAGAGAACUCGGGUGAAGGAACUAGGCAAAAUGGUGCCGUAACUUCGGGAGAAGGCACGCUGAUAUGUAGGUGAAGUCCCUCGCGGAUGGAGCUGAAAUCAGUCGAAGAUACCAGCUGGCUGCAACUGUUUAUUAAAAACACAGCACUGUGCAAACACGAAAGUGGACGUAUACGGUGUGACGCCUGCCCGGUGCCGGAAGGUUAAUUGAUGGGGUCAGCGCAAGCGAAGCUCUUGAUCGAAGCCCCGGUAAACGGCGGCCGUAACUAUAACGGUCCUAAGGUAGCGAAAUUCCUUGUCGGGUAAGUUCCGACCUGCACGAAUGGCGUAAUGAUGGCCAGGCUGUCUCCACCCGAGACUCAGUGAAAUUGAACUCGCUGUGAAGAUGCAGUGUACCCGCGGCAAGACGGAAAGACCCCGUGAACCUUUACUAUAGCUUGACACUGAACAUUGAGCCUUGAUGUGUAGGAUAGGUGGGAGGCUUUGAAGUGUGGACGCCAGUCUGCAUGGAGCCGACCUUGAAAUACCACCCUUUAAUGUUUGAUGUUCUAACGUGGACCCGUGAUCCGGGUUGCGGACAGUGUCUGGUGGGUAGUUUGACUGGGGCGGUCUCCUCCUAAAGAGUAACGGAGGAGCACGAAGGUUGGCUAAUCUUGGUCGGACAUCAGGAGGUUAGUGCAAUGGCAUAAGCCAGCUUGACUGCGAGCGUGACGGCGCGAGCAGGUGCGAAAGCAGGUCAUAGUGAUCCGGUGGUUCUGAAUGGAAGGGCCAUCGCUCAACGGAUAAAAGGUACUCCGGGGAUAACAGGCUGAUACCGCCCAAGAGUUCAUAUCGACGGCGGUGUUUGGCACCUCGAUGUCGGCUCAUCACAUCCUGGGGCUGAAGUAGGUCCCAAGGGUAUGGCUGUUCGCCAUUUAAAGUGGUACGCGAGCUGGGUUUAGAACGUCGUGAGACAGUUCGGUCCCUAUCUGCCGUGGGCGCUGGAGAACUGAGGGGGGCUGCUCCUAGUACGAGAGGACCGGAGUGGACGCAUCACUGGUGUUCGGGUUGUCAUGCCAAUGGCACUGCCCGGUAGCUAAAUGCGGAAGAGAUAAGUGCUGAAAGCAUCUAAGCACGAAACUUGCCCCGAGAUGAGUUCUCCCUGACCCUUUAAGGGUCCUGAAGGAACGUUGAAGACGACGACGUUGAUAGGCCGGGUGUGUAAGCGCAGCGAUGCGUUGAGCUAACCGGUACUAAUGAACCGUGAGGCUUAACCUUACAACGCCGAAGGUGUUU